GGAGGACUGCAUGAUGGAGACCUCAUCCUCUCAAGUGUGGACUGUCUAGAUGCCCAAUUUUUGGAUGCAGGAAUUCUCCGUCUCCCGCUCACUGGCUCCUCUCCUGUCCCCCGCGUCCCUUUAGCGGUGACAGCUGAGCAAUGGCCUUCCCCGGCGCAGCGAUAAUUGAAAAGCAUGAUGGCUGGCUGCUGGUGAAGCGACCAUCUGUGAGUCUGAGUGGUUUGACCGGACGCACACACACACCUCUCUGUUUGGCGGUCUCGUAGUCGCCCUUGCAGACCAGCCUGCUGUCCUCCAUCAGGUAGUACUCAUCCCCUGUGGCCAGUUGCCUCUUGCACACGAUGCAGGCGAAGCAGUGCAGGUGGUAGACGAAGUCCUGCGCCCUCCUCACCACCUGUGUGGGCGGUAUCCCCUGCUGACACGCGGCGCACUUGGUCCCGAAUCUCCUUUUGGAAAAUCAGAAAGUCGACAUCAAUAAAACCAUAAACAUAAAUUGUAAAGCUAUAAAAAGGGAUAUUUUUGAAACAGGAUAAUCAACGAAAACCAUGUUGAAACGAGUCCUGGGAUGUACUCACUUGAAGAAAUCCUCUUUGCAGUAGACGCUGUCGCCCCUGCUGAAGCACUUGUCCGCCAGCUGAGCCUGGCAGUCGCUGCAUUUCAGGCACUUGCUGUGCCACUGGCGGUCCAGCACCUUGAGGAUGAAGCGGUCCACGAUGUGCUGACUGCAGCCCGCGCACACUGGGAUCUCUGCAGGAGACACGAGGGAAUCACGACAUCAGUUUUCAGUCAAAAAUGUCGUCGUUGGGUGAAUGUGGCCCCGACGCGCCGAAUGACAUCUGAACCCAGCGUCCUGUGCGUAAUGUGCGGACACUUAACAUACUAAUCUGCUGAUGGUUGGACCUGUUAAAUUAUGCAAGACCCUCAAUAAGCUUUGUAGCUAAAAAUAAACAUCAGCAGCGUUAAUAUUCUGUACAAAGAAAUGCGUAAUGAUAUUCCUUAUCAGAUGGACACAAAAUGUCUUAAAUUUGCCUUUUCUUCUCUUUAAAUAUUUGAACAUUUGGCCGUUUUUAUCUUAAAACAAUCUUUAAAAUAAUGUACA
Molecule: long non-coding RNA, 1099 nt
Organism: Platichthys flesus (European flounder)
Lineage: Eukaryota; Metazoa; Chordata; Actinopteri; Pleuronectiformes; Pleuronectidae
Exons: 3
Source: RefSeq, a predicted model, not a curated record